UUUCUCUCCUGAUCUCUGUCAAGAACUCAUCCGAUUCCAUCUGUCGUCUCUUUGCAUGAAACUCACUGGGGAGGUAACACGAGGUCAGGGAUUUGUGUGGUGUUGAAGAAACUGCCCGUUCGGUCUAAAUGAAUAUGAUGAAUAACUAACUGCCCUCAGGCUCAAGGGUCAGGCCUCCGUUACUCCAGUGAGGUGAAGACCUGGAACACGGACGGAAGAUAAGACGACGUGUCACCACUUCUUCUGAAAGUCCAGAGAGGAAGUCAAGGGCGUGUACGUCAGUGUGGCGCCCGAGCGCUCACGUGCACACGCAGCGCGCAGUGCACGCCCCUUCUCCAGCCUCUGCAGUGUGAGUGAGCUCUGUGCACGCACACACACGCACGCACGCACACAAACACACACACACACACAGGAGAGAUCCGGGAGCUG
This is a non-coding RNA of Paralichthys olivaceus (Japanese flounder), 429 nucleotides long. NCBI's taxonomy places the organism in Eukaryota, Metazoa, Chordata, Actinopteri, Pleuronectiformes, Paralichthyidae. The record is from RefSeq and is a predicted model, not a curated record.